Molecule: ribosomal RNA, 187 nt
Filed under: uncultured eukaryote
Lineage: Eukaryota
Description: partial 18S ribosomal RNA
Rfam family: Eukaryotic small subunit ribosomal RNA
Source: RNAcentral
UGGUGGAGUGAUUUGUCUGGUUAAUUCCGUUAACGAACGAGACCUCGACCUGCUAAAUAGUUGGGCCAAUCCGCUUGGAUUGGUUAGGAGCUGGGCGCUUCGUCUUCGGGCGGACGCAGCCCUCUUCGCCACUAACUUCUUAGAGGGACUAUCGGUGCUUAGCCGGUGGAAGUUCGAGGCAAUAACA